This is a long non-coding RNA of Felis catus (domestic cat), 1112 nucleotides long. RefSeq lists it as uncharacterized. Lineage: Eukaryota; Metazoa; Chordata; Mammalia; Carnivora; Felidae. The record is from RefSeq and is a predicted model, not a curated record. The transcript has 3 exons.
UCAGGUGGUCCAGAAGAGGUAAGAUGAUGAGAUAAGAACAUGUUGAGGCAGUUCUCAGAAGCAAAUGAAGAGCCCUGCCAUCUGACUGCUUUGAACUAGUCUGAUGGUUCAUGGCUCGGUCACGUUGGGCUCCGCUAAAAGUGACCCAACGUCUGCUUUUAUUCCAGUUUCUUUGCUGAUGACAAGUCCGGACCUGUUCCGCUCCUCUUGCUUCCUGCCGAAACACUGUACACCACAAAUUAUCCUGAGGCUUUCCACGGAACAGCUUUCACGGCGCCCAGGGCCCCCUGAUCGUGACCGUCAUGGCUACUUCUGAACAUUCUCAAUAGUUGGGGACAGUUGGGAACCAGCAGCCUCUCUAGCACUUGAGAAGUUGUUGGAAAUGUGGGGACUCCAGCCUACACAUCCCCAGCUGAAUGCUCACCACUCCUAGCAGCAAAUGACCCCAAUCAAUAUGUAAAAACCUUCAGUGCUCCACUGCAGCAAACAGUCACAGGAUUUGCUGGGUUUCUUUAUCUGACCAUCGGCUAAUGAACGAGGACACAUGUGCACCUGCAUUAGAAAUUCCUGCUGUCUUCCUUACUGGUGGAGUUGGGGCUCUGAAGCACACUACCUUCUUUUGAACCCAACCUGUGCUGCCUGGCGGCCACAAGUUCCCGACUCUCAACCUCUUCCACUUUAAAGGAGGGGUAUUACAGGUGCCUGUGCCUGGGGGCUCUCCUGAAUGUUAAUUAAAAGGAUAAGAAACAGCCAGAUGCACUUGUGAGGACUUGGCCAAUUUGCUCUCCACGGGCCCGGGAGGCAUGUUCUGCCUCUUGAGUUUUACUCACAAUUUCUUGCUGUCACCCGAAGAUUUACUCAAACAAGGCUGUUUGGAUGCGGGAGGGCAUUAUUAUGUCAAACUCAAUGCCAAACCCAGCACCAUAAGAAUGGGCAGUGAUAACAGUAAUAAAUCCAAGUGCUCCAAUUCAGGAACCUUCAGGAAACAUCAUCAUCACCGUCUGGGGCUUCCUUCUCCAACGUCAGGCAGAACUCCCCCCGUGGGUCGCCCAAGAAUCAUGCACUGGGAGAAACUGUGCGAAGCUGACCCGUUACAGGUUGAGUGUGUCCAU